This 502-nucleotide ribosomal RNA is filed under the name uncultured Actinomycetes bacterium. RNAcentral's name for it is "bacterial SSU rRNA". It matches the Rfam family "Bacterial small subunit ribosomal RNA", at positions 355 to 850 of the family's 1533-position model. The record is from RNAcentral. Lineage: Bacteria; Bacillati; Actinomycetota; Actinomycetes.
UGGGGAAUCUUGCCCAAUGGGCGAAAGCCUGAGGCAGCGACGCCGCGUGCGGGAAGAAGGCCCUCGGGUUGUAAACCGCUUUCAGGAGGGACGAAGCUACUCGGGUGAAUAGCCCAGAGGGUGACGGUACCUCCAGAAGAAGCCCCGGCUAACUACGUGCCAGCAGCCGCAGUAAUACGUAGGGGGCAAGCGUUGUCCGGAUUUAUUGGGCGUAAAGCGCGUGUAGGCGGCCAGGCAGGUCCGUUGUGAAAACUGGAGGCUCAACCUCCAGACGUCGAUGGAAACCGCUUGGCUAGAGUCCGGAAGAGGAGAGUGGAAUUCCUGGUGUAGCGGUGAAAUGCGCAGAUAUCAGGAAGAACACCGAUGGCGAAGGCAGCUCUCUGGGACGGUACUGACGCUGAGACGCGAAAGCGUGGGAGCGAGCAGGAUUAGAUACCCUGGUAGUCCACGCCGUAAACGAUGGGUGCUAGGUGUGGGAGGUGUCGACUCCUCCCGUGCCGCG